This 2335-nucleotide ribosomal RNA is filed under the name Clostridium sp. Its description in RNAcentral is "partial 23S ribosomal RNA". It matches the Rfam family "Bacterial large subunit ribosomal RNA", at positions 780 to 2925 of the family's 2925-position model. The record is from RNAcentral. Lineage: Bacteria; Bacillati; Bacillota; Clostridia; Eubacteriales; Clostridiaceae.
CGGGUGCGGUUUAAAACGCAUCGGAUGAACUGUGGAUAGGGGCGAAAAACCAAACGAACCCGGAGAUAGCUGGUUCUCCUCGAAAUAGCUUUAGGGCUAGCCUCUGACCUAAGAUUUUAGGAGGUAGAGCACUGAAUGGUCUAGGGCGGAUUACCGUACCAAAACCUAUCAAACUCCGAAUGCCAAAAAAUCAAGUCAGGGAGUCAGACUUAGGGGGAUAAGCUUCUAAGUCGAAAGGGAAACAGCCCAGACCGACAGCUAAGGUCCCAAAAUUUGAAUUAAGUGGAAAAGGAUGUGAAUCUACUAAGACAACCAGGACGUUGGCUUAGAAGCAGCCAUGCAUUUAAAGAAUGCGUAAUAGCUCACUGGUCAAGUGGGUUUGCGCCGAAAAUGAACGGGGCUCAAAUUCAAUACCGAAGCUUCGGAUUAAUAGAGGGAUUAAGUUUACAAAUGAGACUAGGAAAUAUUUAACAAAAACAGAAGAGAUUAAAAAGAAAAACAAAUUUCAGACGCAGACAUAAAAGAUAGGAUAUUAAAAAGAAAUAUUCAAAAAACACAAGUCUAAAGUCAAAAGUGAGUAACAUAAGAAAUUAUGAACUAACAAUCACUGGUUAAGAGUUAAAAACUAGGACUCAUAGCUAAACUUAAUACCUCUAUUAGUGGUAGAGGAGCAUUGUAUUAGAGACGAAGCCAAGGCGAAAGCAAAAGUGGAUCUAAUACAAGAGAGAAUGCUGGCAUGAGUAGCGAGAAGGGAUGUGAGAAUCAUCCCCGUCGAAACCCUAAGGACUCCUGAGCAAGGCUCGUCCCCUCAGGGAAAGUCGGGACCUAAGCCAAGGCCGAAAGGCGUAGGCGAUGGAUAACAGGUUUAUAUUCCUGUACCGCUUGAAGUCGUUAAGAGAGAAGUGAUGACGCAAAAGGAUAAGCAAAGCCAUCAGAUGGAAAAGAUGGUCUAAAGCCGUAGGAAGAAAAGUAGGCAAAUCCGCUUUUCACAAAUUCUAAAAGCCGAUAGGUAUCGAAAACAUAAGUAGAGAAGUUGCCGAUUCCAGGUUGCCAAGAAAAGUCACUAUCCAGACCAAAGCGCCCGUACCAAAACCGACACAGGUAGGGAGGUAGAGAAUACCAAGACGCGCGGAAGAACCUUUGUUAAGGAACUCGGCAAAAUGUCCCCGUAACUUCGGGAGAAGGGGAGCCUGAGCAAUCAGGCCACAGAAACCAGGCCCAAGCGACUGUUUACCAAAAACACAAGUUUCUGCAAAAUCGCAAGAUGAAGUAUAGGAGCUGACACCUGCCCGGUGCUGGAAGGUUAAGGGGAAGGCUUAGAGCAAUCGAAGGCUAGAACUUAAGCCCCAGUAAACGGCGGCCGUAACUAUAACGGUCCUAAGGUAGCGAAAUUCCUUGUCGGGUAAGUUCCGACCCGCACGAAAGGUGUAACGAUUUGGGCACUGUCUCAACAAAGGAUCCGGUGAAAUUGUAGUAGUCGUGAAGAUGCGACUUACCCACGCUAGGACGGAAAGACCCCGUGGAGCUUUACUGUAGGCUGAUAUUGGAUUUUGAGAUUAAAUGUACAGGAUAGUUGGGAGACUGAGAUAUCUGGAUGCCAAUCUAGGAGGAGUCACUGGUGGGAUACCAACCUUUUAAUAUCAAAGUUCUAACCAUAGCCCUUGAAUCAGGGCAUGGGACAUUGUCAGUUGGGCAGUUUGACUGGGGCGGUCGCCUCCUAAAAAGUAACGGAGGCGUUCAAAGGUUCGCUCAGAAUGGACGGAAACCAUUCGCAGAGUAUAAAGGCAGAAGCGAGCUUAACUGCGAGAGCUACAACUCAAGCAGAGUCGAAAGACGGACUUAGUGAUCCGGUGGUACCGCAUGGAAGGGCCAUCGCUCAACGGAUAAAAGCUACCCCGGGGAUAACAGGCUUAUCUCCCCCAAGAGUCCACAUCGACGGGGAGGUUUGGCACCUCGAUGUCGGCUCGUCUCAUCCUGGGGCUGGAGUAGGUCCCAAGGGUUGGGCUGUUCGCCCAUUAAAGAGGCACGCGAGCUGGGUUCAGAACGUCGUGAGACAGUUCGGUCCCUAUCCAGCGUGGGCGUAAGAAAUUUGAGAGGAGCUGUCCUUAGUACGAGAGGACCGGGAUGGACGCACCAAUGGUGUACGAGUUGUUAGGCCACUAGCAUGGCUCGGUAGCUAAGUGCGGGAAUGAUAAGUACUGAAAGCAUCUAAGUACGAAGCAUGCCUCAAGAUAAGAUUUCUUAGAGUAGGUAAAGAAAAUACCUUAGAUAGGUCCAAGGUGUAAGUGCAGUAAUGUAUUAAGCUAAUGGAUACUAAACUUUAAAUCUUGACUGG